Molecule: ribosomal RNA, 478 nt
Filed under: uncultured bacterium
Lineage: Bacteria
Description: partial 16S ribosomal RNA
Rfam family: Bacterial small subunit ribosomal RNA
Source: RNAcentral
GAUGAACGCUAGCGGCAGGCCUAACACAUGCAAGUCGAGGGAGAAGCCCUUUCGGGGGCAGAAACCGGCGCACGGGUGCGUAACGCGUAUGCAACCUACCUUUCACAGGGGGAUAGCCCGAAGAAAUUUGGAUUAAUACCCCAUAAUAUUAUUGGAUGGCAUCAUUUGAUAAUUAAAACUGCGGUGGUGAAAGAUGGGCAUGCGUCCUAUUAGCUAGUUGGAGUGGUAACGGCACCCCAAGGCUACGAUAGGUAGGGGUCCUGAGAGGGAGAUCCCCCACACUGGUACUGAGACAGGGACCAGACUCCUACGGGAGGCAGCGGUGGGGAAUAUUGGUCAAUGGUCGGAAGACUGAACCAGCCAUGCCGCGUGCAGGAAGAAUGCCUUAUGGGUUGUAAACUGCUUUUAUAUGGGAAGAAUAAGGUGUACGUGUACAUUGAUGACGGUACCAUAUGAAUAAGCAUCGGCUAACUCCGUG